This 540-nucleotide ribosomal RNA is filed under the name uncultured bacterium. RNAcentral's name for it is "bacterial SSU rRNA". It matches the Rfam family "Bacterial small subunit ribosomal RNA", at positions 362 to 917 of the family's 1533-position model. The record is from RNAcentral.
UCUUGCGCAUGGGCGAAAGCCUGNGCAGCAACGCCGCGUGAGGGACGAAGGCUUUCUGAGUUGUAAACCUCUUUCAGCAGGAACGAUAGUGACGGUACCUGCAGAAGAAGCACCGGCCAACUACGUGCCAGCAGCCGCGGUGAUACGUAGGGUGCAAGCGUUGUCCGGAUUUAUUGGGCGUAAAGAGCUCGUAGGCGGCUUGAUAAGUCGGAUGUGAAACCCCCAGGCUUAACCUGGGGCCGCCAUUCGAUACUGUCAUGGCUUGAGUCCGGUAGGGGACCAUGGAAUUCCUGGUGUAGCGGUGAAAUGCGCAGAUAUCAGGAGGAACACCAGUGGCGAAGGCGGUGGUCUGGGCCGGUACUGACGCUGAGGAGCGAAAGCGUGGGGAGCGAACAGGAUUAGAUACCCUGGUAGUCCACGCCGUAAACGUUGGGCACUAGGUGUGGGGCCUAUUCAACGGGUUCCGUGCCGCAGCUAACGCAUUAAGUGCCCCGCCUGGGGAGUACGGCCGCAAGGCUAAAACUCAAAGAAAUUGACGGA